CGAGUUAACGAGACAAUCGCUGUUUUGUCGUUAUACCUUAAGCGUAAGUUAAAGGUAGACAGAUAAAAGGGAGGAAAGUCCGGGCUCCAGAGAGCAGAGUGCCAGAUAACAUCUGGGCGGUGUAAGCCGACGACAAGUGCAGCAGAGAGAAAACCGCCGAUGGCCGUUCUUUUUAUUAAGAGCGGAACAGGUAAGGGUGAAAGGGUGCGGUAAGAGCGCACCGGAUUGCUGGUAACAGUAAUUGCAGGGUAAACUCCACUCGGAGCAAGACCAAAUAGGGUUCCA
RNAcentral lists this RNase P RNA (285 nucleotides) under Gammaproteobacteria bacterium. RNAcentral describes it as "partial RNase P RNA component class A". It matches the Rfam family "Bacterial RNase P class A", at positions 1 to 242 of the family's 367-position model. From Rfam's summary of the family: Ribonuclease P (RNase P) is a ubiquitous endoribonuclease, found in archaea, bacteria and eukarya as well as chloroplasts and mitochondria. Its best characterised activity is the generation of mature 5'-ends of tRNAs by cleaving the 5'-leader elements of precursor-tRNAs. Cellular RNase Ps are ribonucleoproteins. Lineage: Bacteria; Pseudomonadati; Pseudomonadota; Gammaproteobacteria. The record is from RNAcentral.